This 429-nucleotide ribosomal RNA is filed under the name Bacteroidota bacterium. RNAcentral describes it as "Bacteroidetes bacterium partial 16S ribosomal RNA". It matches the Rfam family "Bacterial small subunit ribosomal RNA", at positions 355 to 776 of the family's 1533-position model. Lineage: Bacteria; Pseudomonadati; Bacteroidota. The record is from RNAcentral.
UAGGGAAUCUUCCGCAAUGGACGCAAGUCUGACGGAGCAACGCCGCGUGAGUGAAGAAGGAUUUCGGUUCGUAAAACUCUGUUGUUAGAGAAGAACAGCGCAUAGAGUAACUGUUACGCGUGUGACGGUAUCUAACCAGAAAGCCACGGCUAACUACGUGCCAGCAGCCGCGGUAAUACGUAGGUGGCAAGCGUUGUCCGGAUUUAUUGGGCGUAAAGCGAGCGCAGGCGGUCAAUUAAGUCUGAUGUGAAAGCCCCCGGCUCAACCGGGGAGGGUCGUUGGAAACUGGUUGACUUGAGUGCAGAAGAGGAGAGUGGAAUUCCAUGUGUGACGGUGAAAUGCGUAGAUAUAUGGAGGAACACCAGUGGCGAAGGCGACUCUCUGGUCUGUAACUGACGCUGAGGCUCGAAAGCGUGGGUAGCAAACAGG